RNAcentral lists this ribosomal RNA (1386 nucleotides) under metagenome. Its description in RNAcentral is "SSU rRNA". It matches the Rfam family "Eukaryotic small subunit ribosomal RNA", at positions 20 to 1371 of the family's 1831-position model. The record is from RNAcentral.
GUAGUGAUAUGCUUGUUUCAAAGAUUAAGCCAUGCAUGUCUAAGUAUAAGCGAACUUAUACAGUGAAACUGCGGAUGGCUCAUUAAAACAGUUUGAAUUUAUUUGAUGAAUGUAUGAGAAUACUACUUGGAUAACCGUAGUAAUUCUAGAGCUAAUACAUGCAACGACGCCCGACCGUUUCACUACGGAAGGGCUGUAUUUAUUGGAUACCAAAACCAUCCUUCCCUCGGGAAGUUUUGUUUGAUGAUUCACAAUAACUGAUCGGAUCGCCACUGUGGUGGCGACAGGUCAUUCAACAUUCUGCCCUAUCAGCUUUCGAUGGUUGUGUAGUGGACAACCAUGGCCAUAACGGGUAACGGAGAAUCAGGGUUCGAUUCCGGAGAAGGAGCUUGAGAAUUGGCUACUACAUCUAAGGAAGGCAGCAGGCGCGCGAAUUACCCAAUCCCGAUUCGGGGAGGUAGUGACAAAAAAUAACAAUACCGGGCCUUUUUGGGCUUGGUAAUUGGAAUGAGGGAGAGUUAAACGGACCAUCGAGUAUCCAUUGGAGGGCAAGUCUGGUGCCAGCAGCUGCGGUAAUACCAGCUCCAAUAGCGUAUAUUAAAGUUGUUGCAGUUAAAAGCUCGUAGUUGGACUUGUGUGCGCUGUCCGCGGGUGGCCUGCGCCCAAAAGGGCGUUUCGGUUCGGCCCCGGUGGCGCCUUGAAAUCUGCAGCUGGGGGGACGUUGGCCUUAACUGGUCGGCGACCGCACGCCGGCUGCUCGGUUACUGUGAGAAAAUUAGAGUGUUCAAGGCAGGCAUUGGGUGCAAUUGAAUACAUUAGCAUGGAAUAAUAAAAUAUGGCUCCUGCCGUAUUUUGUUGGUUUUGACUGGUGGGAGUAAUGAUUGAUAGGGACGGUUGGGGGUGCUAGUAUUGAGCGGCCAGAGGUGAAAUUCAUGGAUUCGCUCAAGACUAACUUAUGCGAAAGCAUUCACCAAGGACGUCCUCUUUAAUCAAGAACGAAAGUUGGGGGAUCGAAGACGAUCAGAUACCGUCGUAGUCUCAACCAUAAACUAUGUCGACUUGGGAUCGGCGGUAGUUUUUUCAUUAAGACACUGUCGGGACCACGGGAGAAAUCAAAGUGUCUGGACUCUGGGGGAAGUAUGGUCGCAAGGCUGAAACUUGAAGGAAUUGACGGAAGGGCACCACCAGGAGUGGAGCCUGCGGCUUAAUUUGACCCAACACGGGGAAACUUACCAGGUCCAGAGAUGUAGAGGAUUGACAGAUUGAAGCUCUUUCUUGAUCACUUCGGUGGUGGUGCAUGGCCGUUCUUAGUUGGCGAAGUGAUUUGUCUGGUUAAUUCCGUUAACGAACGAGACCUCAGCCUGCUAGUGUAGUCGGCUGGAUUGU